This is a non-coding RNA of Peromyscus maniculatus bairdii (prairie deer mouse), 960 nucleotides long. The record is from RefSeq and is a predicted model, not a curated record. Lineage: Eukaryota; Metazoa; Chordata; Mammalia; Rodentia; Cricetidae.
GAGCCGUGUGGGCACACCCUUCUCCUGACCAGCUGCAUGGAGUCAGGACAGCCUCAUCUCCCCAGGCAUGUGUUUCCCUAGUGUGGCGAGAGCAGAAGAUGAGCCAGCUGGGAAAACACCCUCUCUUCUGCAUCCUGCCCCAGAUUGACAAGGGAUGAGUUUGUGCUGUAGAGUUCUGGCACCACCCGAGGAAGUGGAUAAUAAUAUGCUCCCUGUUCUCAGGGGCUGGCUGGGCCAAAACUUUCUCUUUUUUUUUUUUUUUUUUUUCUUGAAAACUACCUUUCCUCUCCUGUCUGUGUACCUGCGGGCCUGAGGCAGCAGUUCUUCUCAUAUCUGCCAACUAUGUCUUCUUUGUGUAGCCCCCAAGGACCGCCGCCGCCACUGUGAAAAGAUCUUGAGUGAUUCACUUGCUGGCCUUGCCUCUCAACGUCAUCGCAGGACACCAAGCAUAACUUCUGUUCUUUCUGUCCUUUCUCUCUGGCAGCAAUUCGAAAAUGUGUUGCUGAUGAGCCUAGUGCGAGGCUGGGGUGUACAGCAGGCCCAUAAGCCGUCGUCAUUGGUGCCUCUGUCUUGCAGAUCGAAGCCAUUUACUACUUUGUGGUGGGGGAUGUUCCAGAGGAGUCCCAGGAGCUGCUUCUCCAGAGGGUUUUGGAAAUCCCAUAUCCAGUCUGCACAGUGUCCUUCAACGCCAAAGGAGAAGAAACCGUAGCUUUCUUAAAAAAGCUGAGCACCGAGACCGACAGCAGAUUCCACGCCUUUGCUGAGAGGACAGAGUGUCUAGAAUUCUCUGCGUUUUCCAUGGAGGAUGUUGACAGUUCAAUGACUUGGAAUUCAAGGAAACUGAAAGGGAGACUCCCUCCAGGUACCUGGAAUCCUGAAGGAGCGGGAUCACUUGUAAUCUUAAUCGUUCCAAGUGGUCUGCAGUACAGUUUGCCAAUAAAGGACAAAGUAGGGACCACC